ACGCUCGACACCUACUGGAGGCAGCAGUGGGGAAUAUUGCACAAUGGGGGAAACCCUGAUGCAGCGACGCCGCGUGAGUGAAGAAGUAUUUCGGUAUGUAAAGCUCUAUCAGCAGGGAAGAAGAUGACGGUACCUGAGUAAGAAGCCCCGGCUAACUACGUGCCGGCAGCCGCGUAAUCUGAGCGGGCGUGGCAAGGC
This 198-nucleotide ribosomal RNA is filed under the name uncultured bacterium. RNAcentral's name for it is "partial 16S ribosomal RNA". It matches the Rfam family "Bacterial small subunit ribosomal RNA", at positions 328 to 538 of the family's 1533-position model. The record is from RNAcentral.